CGACCCCAGGAUGGGCGG
This 18-nucleotide ribosomal RNA is filed under the name Hemipilia forrestii. Its description in RNAcentral is "partial 26S ribosomal RNA". The record is from RNAcentral. Lineage: Eukaryota; Viridiplantae; Streptophyta; Magnoliopsida; Asparagales; Orchidaceae.